RNAcentral lists this transfer RNA (70 nucleotides) under Ictidomys tridecemlineatus (thirteen-lined ground squirrel). RNAcentral describes it as "Spermophilus tridecemlineatus (thirteen-lined ground squirrel) tRNA". It matches the Rfam family "tRNA". Rfam says of the family: Transfer RNA (tRNA) molecules are approximately 80 nucleotides in length. Their secondary structure includes four short double-helical elements and three loops (D, anti-codon, and T loops). Lineage: Eukaryota; Metazoa; Chordata; Mammalia; Rodentia; Sciuridae. The record is from Rfam by way of RNAcentral.
GGGGAUAUAGCUCAGUUGGUAGAGUGCUUGCUUCAAAUGCGCAAGGCCCUGGGUUCAAUCCCCAGCACCA